GGCAGGGGAUUGAGCCUUAUGUUCGAACCCAUUUUCAUAUCCAUAACACCUGUGCACCUGCUUGGAUGCUUGCAUCCACCUUUUAAACUAAACAUUAUUGUAACAAAUGUAGUCUUAUUAUAACAUAAUAAAACUUUCAACAACGGAUCUCUUGGCUCUCGCAUCGAUGAAGAACGCAGCGAAAUGCGAUAAGUAAUGUGAAUUGCAGAAUUCAGUGAAUCAUCGAAUCUUUGAACGCACCUUGCGCUCCUUGGUAUUCCGAGGAGCAUGCCUGUUUGAGUGUCAUGAAACCCUCAAACUCAAGUUUAGUUCUAACUGAACCGAACUUGAGUUUGGAUUUGGACGUUUGCCGGUGAUGAACCGACUCGUCUUAAAAGUAUUAGCUGGAUCUGUCUAUAUGACUGGUUUGACUUGGCAUAAUAAGUAUUUUGCUGAGGACAUCUUCGGAUGGCCAGGACCUAGACUAUUGUCUGCUAACUAAACCUUCACUUUGAGUGCAUCUUCUGGAUGUUACUCAUUGUGUUACUUUGACAU
This 534-nucleotide small RNA is filed under the name Cryptococcus sp. 1198 FbB. RNAcentral describes it as "eukaryotic LSU rRNA". The stretch from base 132 to 285 matches the Rfam family "5.8S ribosomal RNA". The record is from RNAcentral. Lineage: Eukaryota; Fungi; Basidiomycota; Tremellomycetes; Tremellales; Cryptococcaceae.